RNAcentral lists this ribosomal RNA (397 nucleotides) under uncultured bacterium. RNAcentral's name for it is "bacterial SSU rRNA". It matches the Rfam family "Bacterial small subunit ribosomal RNA", at positions 28 to 431 of the family's 1533-position model. The record is from RNAcentral.
GACGAACGCUGGCGGCGUGCUUAACACAUGCAAGUCGAGCGGUAAGGCCCUUUCGGGGGUACACGAGCGGCGAACGGGUGAGUAACACGUGGGUGACCUGCCCUCAGCUCUGGGAUAAGCCUGGGAAACCGGGUCUAAUACUGGAUAUGACUCCAUGACGCAUGUUGUGGGGUGGAAAGCCUUGUGCGGCUGAGGAUGGGCCCGCGGCCUAUCAGCUUGUUGGUGGGGGAUGGCCUACCAAGGCGACGACGGGUAGCCGGCCUGAGAGGGCGACCGGCCACACUGGGACUGAGACACGGCCCAGACUCCUACGGGAGGCAGCAGUGGGGAAUCUUGCGCAAUGGGCGAAAGCCUGACGCAGCGACGCCGCGUGAGGGAUGACGGCCUGGUGUAACGU